AUGAGAGAAGAUAAGGUAUUGCUCCUGCAAGCAGAACUUCCUGUCUUCAAAAUGGUAAAUGAGAUUAAUGCACCUCAGGCUGAGUGUGCCACCUGGGAAUCUCUUGGAAGGACACAGCCUUGGUGCAAGGGACUGACAUAAAGCAGGUAACUGAAUUUUUUGUAGUGGUACUUGGUACGUGUGAGAGUUACAGGUAUCAGACUUGAAAACUGACUGCCAGUGUCCUGAGGAGUAGGCCAAACUCGGGAAUACUCACUUAUGGCAGUAGCAGGGAAUCAGAAACUCACUCCUCUAAUACAUUACUUACACCUUCACUUCAGCAAAGCAGUGAUAAAUUAGCUGCAGAUUUCAAUUAAAAUGUGUAGAUCACACCUUCACUUCAGCAAAGCAGUGAUAAAUUAGCUGCAGAUUUCAAAUAAAAGUAGAUCACACUUAGAAGAAAAACCUGUGCAAGCUUCAGGAAUAUGCUGUAUUAAAUAAAAAAAAUAAUGAAUUGCUGCCAUCAGGAAUAAGAAAGGAAAAGAGGAGAUACUGUCUCAGUCAUCCCCCACAUUUCUACCCGACACACUACAUCACUAAGUUUCUCCACAUUCAAAAUACAAAUUCUAAUUUCUGUGAGAAAAAAAAUUAGAAUCUAUGUUUAGUCUGGUGAUGAUAUGGAGAGAGCCAGGAGACAUUUUACAUACUUGUUUUUAGCAGUGGGAAUCCACAGUGGAACACAGUCAACUCGUAUUGCUUUAAUUUAAAACGUAGGGUUAACAAUUGUUAGUAUUUAGAGAAGAAAAACAAUGUACACGUGGCUCAGAAAAUGCAACCCAUGAGAGAGAUGAAGAAUCUGAGAACGCAGAACUUUAAUUCUCCUUAUAUGCGAAAAAGGUACUUAUAAAAAGAUGAUUAUUUAUUGUCCAAUGUAUUCACAAGAAGGAGGACUGGAAGAAGUACAAGAAAUAUUAAUUAAAUACUACAUUGAAAAGAAUUUAAAUAUAUAUAGUGGUAAUUCUGUCAAGCAGUAGACUCACUAAGAAAGCUGUAAAACCUUCUUUACCAAAGGUUUUCAGUAAAUUUAAAUGUGCUUGUCAUGUACUAUUCAUGACAAAAAAACUGACAAGAGUAACAGGUCAUCAUGAAUUAUAAAACUGACAAGAGUAACAGGUUAUCAUGAAUUAUCUUUUCAGGCAUAUUCCACUUUUCCUACAUAUUUGUAAUUCUUGUAUGAUCCUAAACUGUUGUGAGACAAAAAUCUCUAGUCAUUUGCAAUCUUUGUAAAAUCAAUACAAACUGGGAAACUAGUAUUGUGUCUGACAGGUCCACUCCUGUUAUUAGCAAUAGUAAUAUGACAUUUUUAGGAAAAGGGAUCUGAACCAGGUAUAUAGAAAAGUUAUUAAUAAUGAAGAAAAAUCUGUCCCUGUUCUUGAUGGGGUUCUUUCAGUUGUAAACACAUACUUAGCACACUUUCUCUAUGCCCUUGUACAAAAACAAGCAUGUAAAUAAUUCUCUCUUCUUUUCUUAGCUAUCAGUUCAUCAAUAAUAUUGAGCAAUAUCCAAUCUUGGAAACUCUACUAACAAUUCCUGAAAAUUUUUUCACAGUACUGAAACCAGUCACUAGAAAAAGUAAAUAGCAGUUCCUAAACACAUAAGAACCCAAAUGCUUCAGCUUUGUCACGCCACAACUGAAGCAUUCUUCUUUCAAAUAGAGUUAUUUAAAUUCAGUUAGAAAUACAAUUUUAUUACGUAAUCUUAAUUUAAAAUGAAGCAAAUUUGAUUCAUUUUGAGCAAAUUCCAAAAAUAUUUAACAGGGGGUUUUCCUGUGAACUGCUUCAUUAUGCAUUAUAUUUCUAAAGAUAUAAUCACCUUACUGUGAUUGUUUUCAUAAAUGUAUUUUAUUCCUAUUUUAGCAGACUUUUAUAUCAACAUGUUAAUAACUGUUUGAGAUUAUAUUUAAGCAAUAAAAUUCUGUGUGUGAUCUCUGCAUUCUAAAGAAAUCCACCAAAUCUCUAAGAUCUUCUAUACUAUUAAUGUGUUCAUUCAGAUAAGAGUUUGGGUUUUUUUGGCUGUGACUGCUGAAACUUGUUUUAAGUUGCAGUUCUCAUUUUCUUACAAAUUAAUUUCAUUUUCCUUGAAACAUUUGAAACAGCUAUUUAAUCGCAUACAAUGUCAGAACAUGUGUCCUGGGCUGCUCAAUUAAAUCAUAGUUAUUAUUAUUACAUGAUGUUAUUAUAUCUGCACUAACAAGGUAUUUGGCUGUAGGUAUAAGUGUUCAGGCACAUUCAGUUUUGCUUUUAAAUAUAUAUGAUUAAGAAACUGUGAGUAGAUAACAGCUGGCAAACGAUCUUUACAGAAAUGGCCAAGAGCUUUCAUAAAAAAGAAGUCCAAAUACAUUGUCAACAGAGAUACUACACACUGAUCUAUGCAGUAUUUUAAUCAGAAUAAGCUUUCAUAA
This 2440-nucleotide long non-coding RNA is filed under the name Ficedula albicollis (Collared flycatcher). Its description in RNAcentral is "lncRNA (ENSFALG00000026544.1)". The record is from RNAcentral. Lineage: Eukaryota; Metazoa; Chordata; Aves; Passeriformes; Muscicapidae.